CCUACGGGGGGCUGCAGUGGGGAAUAUUGGACAAUGGGCGCAAGCCUGAUCCAGCAAUGCCGCGUGUGUGAAGAAGGCCUUCGGGUUGUAAAGCACUUUUGUUCGGGAAGAGAUCCGUGAGGCUAAUAUCUUACGGGAUGACGGUACCGAAAGAAUAAGCACCGGCUAACUUCGUGCCAGCAGCCGCGGUAAUACGAAGGGUGCAAGCGUUAAUCGGAAUUACUGGGCGUAAAGCGUGCGUAGGCGGUUUGUUAAGUCAGAUGUGAAAGCCCCGGGCUCAACCUGGGAACUGCAUUUGAUACUGGCAAGCUAGAGUGUGGUAGAGGGUGGUGGAAUUCCCGGUGUAGCGGUGAAAUGCGUAGAGAUCGGGAGGAACAUCCGUGGCGAAGGCGGCCACCUGGACCAACACUGACGCUGAGGCACGAAAGCGUGGGGAGCAAACAGGAUUAGAUACCCGUGUAGUC
RNAcentral lists this ribosomal RNA (464 nucleotides) under Weissella confusa. RNAcentral's name for it is "bacterial SSU rRNA". It matches the Rfam family "Bacterial small subunit ribosomal RNA", at positions 338 to 795 of the family's 1533-position model. The record is from RNAcentral. Lineage: Bacteria; Bacillati; Bacillota; Bacilli; Lactobacillales; Lactobacillaceae.